GGGGGGGUGCCAAACCCAGGACCUGCCCCGGGUGCCACAUGCCCUAGGUACGCCCCUGUCUUAUGGCUUGACUGGUGUGCAGAUUUUUGUUUAAUAUUAUAUUGAAAAAAAUAAUAAAAAAAUAUAUCUAUCUGCAUUCAUUACUAACUCUUGUUAUUUUUAAGACUUUAUUUUUUUUUUUUUGGAAUCCUUUUUUAAGAGUGAGCACAGUGUAGGAGCGGACGAGAUGGACACUAUGACCUUUACUAGCAAUUUAAUUUUGGGGCAUGUUUGUAAAAAAUAUGAAUGUUUAUAUGCUCAAAUCCUAUGCAUUACACAUUCUGCACCAAACAUGAAGAUGAGUAUACUGAAUGCAUCUGUUUACAUCAAAGUGGUUCAAGGGCAUCUUUAAUUUAAAAUUACUUGUUUGGUUUUUGAGUUAGUGUCGCUUGAAUUUUCAUAUGAUUUUCAUGUACUACAGACACAAACACGUAUUUACUGGUAAGUGAUCUACAGUCACUUAAUUUAACAUUUAAACCGUCAUCUGUCAGUUCAUGUAACUUCAAAAUUGCAUAUACUAGAAAUCCUGAAGUUUAUUUUGGAUAUAGUUUGCCAGUACUGAUUUUAUUCCGUGGUCAAUGAAAAGAUCUCCUUUUUUCUUUAAUUUUGAUACAAUUAAUGCUAGCUCCUGAAAAUAUUGCAUCUCAGAUUGCAAAGAUACGAAAGACCCACUACCCUUACCAAAAGUUGCAAAAUAAAAUAGCGAAUUAGGUUGAUCCUGAUUGACUGCAACCUCAAAAUUUACAAGGUAAAAUAACUCCCCCUGGAAAAUAACUAAAUAUAUACGAGAGAUGGUCACUUCAUAGAACAUGAAGAAUGUGUAAAUGUAAUUUGUCGAACAGUUCCACGACAAUUACUUUUUUGGUCAUGGAUCAGAGCCUGAAAAAUACAUGUGUCUGUGGUUCACUGUGACAUGGCAUCAGAUAAUGGAUGUAUACAUUUUGCACCUAGUAGUAUUAUUAGUACUAUUUUUGUGUUUUAAUUUUUUUUUUUUUAUUAAAA
Molecule: non-coding RNA, 1041 nt
Organism: Pelobates cultripes (western spadefoot toad)
Lineage: Eukaryota; Metazoa; Chordata; Amphibia; Anura; Pelobatidae
Source: the annotation of a GenBank genome assembly